Molecule: long non-coding RNA, 539 nt
Filed under: Rosa chinensis
Lineage: Eukaryota; Viridiplantae; Streptophyta; Magnoliopsida; Rosales; Rosaceae
Description: sRNA RchiOBHm_Chr2g0159231
Source: RNAcentral
CCGUCUGAACUAAAUCGACAUCUAGGGCUCCGGCGAAGCUAGGUGACGAAGCAAGGGCGCGAGCGCCACCCCAGAAGUGAAGCAAGCGCGCGACCCCGGCAGCGAAGCAAGCGCACGAUCCCCCCGGCUAAUUAACCAAGUGCGCGACCCAGUGGCGAAGCAAGGGUGCGACCCGGCGGCGAAGCAAGGGUGCGACCAGGCGGCGAAGCAAGGGUGUGACCCGGUGGCUAAGCAAGGGUGAGACCCGGUGGGGAAGCAAGGGUGCGACCCGGCGGCCAAGCAAGCGGGUGACCCAGAGGCGAAGCAGGCAGGCGACGCGGCUAAGAAGCAAGGACUCCGGCGGCGAAGCAAGCUAACGAUCCAGGUGACGAACCAAGUGCGCGACCCUAAAGCAAAACAAGGGAGCGACCCAGUGGAGAAGCAAGGGCGCGACCCCAACGGCGAAGCAAGGGGGCGACCCCGCUGAGAAGCAAAGGCGCGACCCCAACGGCGAACCAAGCGCGUGACCUCGGUGGCGAAGUAUGGGCGCGACACUAGCG